GUCGAGAAUCUUCCGCAAUGCGCGAAAGCGUGACGGAGCGACACCGCGUGAUGGAUGAAGUCCUUCGGGGCGUAAACAUCUUUUAUAAAGGAGGAAAUUUUUGACGUUACUUUAUGAAUAAGGGGCUCCCAAUCUCGUGCCAGCAGGAGCGGUAAUACGAGAGCCUCAAGCGUUAUCCGGAAUCAUUGGGCGUAAAGGGUGCGUAGGUGGUUUGAUUAGUCUCCCGUUAAAACUUCGAGCUUAACUCGAAAAGAGCGGGGGAAACGGUCAAACUAGAGUAUGUGAGAGGUGUGUGGAACUCAUGGUGUAGGGGUGAAAUCCGUUGAUAUCAUGGGGAACACCAAAAGCGAAGGCAGCACACUGGCACAUCACUGACACUGAGGCACGAAACCUAAGGUAGCGAAUGGGAUUAGAUACCCGGGUAGUC
This 427-nucleotide ribosomal RNA is filed under the name uncultured bacterium. RNAcentral describes it as "partial 16S ribosomal RNA". It matches the Rfam family "Bacterial small subunit ribosomal RNA", at positions 354 to 795 of the family's 1533-position model. The record is from RNAcentral.